RNAcentral lists this ribosomal RNA (253 nucleotides) under uncultured bacterium. RNAcentral describes it as "partial 16S ribosomal RNA". It matches the Rfam family "Bacterial small subunit ribosomal RNA", at positions 524 to 776 of the family's 1533-position model. The record is from RNAcentral.
UACGAAGGGUGCAAGCGUUACUCGGAAUUACUGGGCGUAAAGCGUGCGUAGGUGGUGAGUUAAGUCUGUCGUGAAAGCCCCGGGCUCAACCUGGGAAUGGCGAUGGAUACUGGCGGGCUAGAGUGCGGUAGAGGGUGGUGGAAUUCCCGGUGUAGCAGUGAAAUGCGUAGAGAUCGGGAGGAACAUCAGUUGCGAAGGCGGCCACCUGGACCAGCACUGACACUGAGGCACGAAAGCGUGGGGAGCAAACAGG